Long non-coding RNA from Dermacentor andersoni, 329 nucleotides. RefSeq lists it as uncharacterized. The record is from RefSeq and is a predicted model, not a curated record. Lineage: Eukaryota; Metazoa; Arthropoda; Arachnida; Ixodida; Ixodidae.
CAGGAUGCUGUUUCUACAGCGUGGAAACAAUUGCGUCGCGUGCUACUUCUCGCCGACGUGUUGCUCCCGUGUAUUCGGAACACUGUCUGCGCCGUUUCGGUGAGUGCACGCGUCAAAGGAGUUCGACCGCAGCGAAGGACAACGGCUGCCGCCGGCACUGGCCACACUGGGAGACGAGCGUGGCGGGAAUCGGAGGGCCCGCGAUGGGAGGAAGACACCGUUCCGUGUACGCCACGAAGCGAAGAGGGCCUUGGAACUCCAUGGAGGUGCUGAUCCUGAGGCUGGAAAGUCGGCCGGGCCUCGUCUCGCUUCUGUACGCACCAUUCAAA